Molecule: ribosomal RNA, 253 nt
Filed under: uncultured bacterium
Lineage: Bacteria
Description: partial 16S ribosomal RNA
Rfam family: Bacterial small subunit ribosomal RNA
Source: RNAcentral
GACAGAGGGUGCAAACGUUGUUCGGAAUUACUGGGCGUAAAGCGAGUGUAGGCGGUUUGGUAAGUCGGAUGUGAAAGCCCCGGGCUCAACCCGGGAAGUGCACUCGAUACUGCCAAGCUAGAGUAUCGGAGAGGUUGGUGGAAUUCUCGGUGUAGAGGUGAAAUUCGUAGAUAUCGGGAGGAACACCAGUGGCGAAGGCGGGCAUCUGGGCCAACACUGACGCUGAGGCGCGAAAGCUAGGGGAGCAAACAGG